GGCUCUUCAUUGUCCUGGGAAGGUAUAUAUAGAGACGCCAGGCGCCUUGGUGUAGGCCACUGUUGCUACUACAUGGGAGGCCUACCUGAGAAAGUGGAGGAGGAGGAAACGGAAAUUGAGAUAGACAACAUCAAUUUGAAGGAAGAAGCCUCAAGCUCCACAGAAAGGAAGAGAAAUCAUUCUGAUCAGCCCAAUGGCUUGGACAGUGAGACGAUACAAAUCCUCAUGGAGAAGAUAAAAGCAAUCCUUCAGCAGAAUCCGGACAGGAAUAUGAAAGAGAACUCGACGAUACUAAUCUUCUACUACCACCAGCAGAAUAAAAAGAAGAAUGAAAACAGGCCAACGGCGGAUGAAGAAACCCUGGUGGAUUCUUCCAACACUUCUCCUGACAAUUCUCCAAGUAAGCCCCUGUGCCCACCUGGAGCCCAAGAUGCUGAGGCAUCUACUGUAACUCCAGGAAAAGCAAAGGCAGAAUAGUCGUUUGUGCAGGGAUCAAACAUACAACGAUGGUCCCCGCUGGACAGACCAAAGUACGCAGAUGUUGAUGAUUAAAGUACCAACAAGCAGGAAAAAGAU
This 576-nucleotide long non-coding RNA is filed under the name Capra hircus (goat). Its description in RNAcentral is "lncRNA (ENSCHIG00000003953.1)". The record is from RNAcentral. Lineage: Eukaryota; Metazoa; Chordata; Mammalia; Artiodactyla; Bovidae.